AAACUAACAAGGAUUCCCCUAGUAACGGCGAGUGAACCGGGAAGAGCUCAAAUUUGAAAUCUGGCGUCCUCAGGGCGUCCGAGUUGUAAUCUAUAGAGGCGUUUUCCGUGCCGGACCGUGUCCAAGUUCCUUGGAACAGGAUAUCAAAGAGGGUGACAAUCCCGUACUUGACACGACGACCGGUGCUCUGUGAUACGUCUUCUACGAGUCGAGUUGUUUGGGAAUGCAGCUCAAAAUGGGUGGUGAGUUCCAUCUAAAGCUAAAUAUUGGCGAGAGACCGAUAGCGAACAAGUACCGUGAGGGAAAGAUGAAAAGCACUUUGGAAAGAGAGUUAAACAGUACGUGAAAUUGUUGAAAGGGAAACGAUUGAAGUCAGUCGUGACCGAGAGGCUCAGCCGGUUCUGCCGGUGUAUUCCCCUCGGUCGGGUCAACAUCAGUUUUGUCCGGUGGAUAAGGACGGUAGGAAGGUGGCACCCUCGGGUGUGUUAUAGCCUGCCGUCGCAUACAUCGGGUGAGACUGAGGAACGCAGCUCGCCUUUAUGGCCGGGGUUCGCCCACGUCCGAGCUUAGGAUGUUGACAU
Molecule: ribosomal RNA, 581 nt
Filed under: Papiliotrema laurentii
Lineage: Eukaryota; Fungi; Basidiomycota; Tremellomycetes; Tremellales; Rhynchogastremaceae
Description: partial large subunit ribosomal RNA
Rfam family: Eukaryotic large subunit ribosomal RNA
Source: RNAcentral